This 466-nucleotide ribosomal RNA is filed under the name uncultured bacterium. RNAcentral's name for it is "partial 16S ribosomal RNA". It matches the Rfam family "Bacterial small subunit ribosomal RNA", at positions 28 to 507 of the family's 1533-position model. The record is from RNAcentral.
GACGAACGCUGGCGGCGUGCUUAACACAUGCAAGUCGAACGGAAAGGCCUCUUUCGGGGGGUACUCGAGUGGCGAACGGGUGAGUAACACGUGAGUAACCUGCCCUUGACUUUGGGAUAACUUCAGGAAACUGGGGCUAAUACCGGAUAGGAGCUCCUGCUGCAUGGUGGGGGUUGGAAAGUUUCGGCGGUUGGGGAUGGACUCGCGGCUUAUCAGCUUGUUGGUGGGGUAGUGGCUUACCAAGGCUUUGACGGGUAGCCGGCCUGAGAGGGUGACCGGCCACAUUGGGACUGAGAUACGGCCCAGACUCCUACGGGAGGCAUCAGUGGGGAAUAUUGCACAAUGGGUGGAAGCCUGAUGCAGCAACGCCGUGUGCGGGAUGACGGCCUUCGGGUUGUAAACCGCUUUCGCCUGUGACGAAGCGUGAGUGACGGUAAUGGGUAAAGAAGCACCGGCUAACUACGUG